Molecule: ribosomal RNA, 1395 nt
Filed under: Campylobacter coli
Lineage: Bacteria; Pseudomonadati; Campylobacterota; Epsilonproteobacteria; Campylobacterales; Campylobacteraceae
Also listed under: 1 other name
Description: partial 23S ribosomal RNA
Rfam family: Bacterial large subunit ribosomal RNA
Source: RNAcentral
AUACUCCGAGAACUGAAAGGCUUUUUGAAGUCUUCGGAUGGAUAGAAGAACCCCUGAUGCCGUCGAGCCAAGAAAAGUUUCUAAGUUUAGCUAAUGUUGCCCGUACCGUAAACCGACACAGGUGGGUGGGAUGAGUAUUCUAAGGCGCGUGGAAGAACUCUCUUUAAGGAACUCUGCAAAAUAGCACCGUAUCUUCGGUAUAAGGUGUGGUUAGCUUUGUAUUAGGAUUUACUCCGAAAGCAAGGAAACUUACAACAAAGAGUCCCUCCCGACUGUUUACCAAAAACACAGCACUCUGCUAACUCGUAAGAGGAUGUAUAGGGUGUGACGCCUGCCCGGUGCUCGAAGGUUAAUUGAUGGGGUUAGCAUUAGCGAAGCUCUUGAUCGAAGCCCGAGUAAACGGCGGCCGUAACUAUAACGGUCCUAAGGUAGCGAAAUUCCUUGUCGGUUAAAUACCGACCUGCAUGAAUGGCGUAACGAGAUGGGAGCUGUCUCAAAGAGGGAUCCAGUGAAAUUGUAGUGGAGGUGAAAAUUCCUCCUACCCGCGGCAAGACGGAGAGACCCCGUGGACCUUUACUACAGCUUGACACUGCUACUUGGAUAAGAAUGUGCAGGAUAGGUGGGAGGCUUUGAGUAUAUGACGCCAGUUGUAUAUGAGCCAUUGUUGAGAUACCACUCUUUCUUAUUUGGGUAGCUAACCAGCUUGAGUUAUCCUCAAGUGGGACAAUGUCUGGUGGGUAGUUUGACUGGGGCGGUCGCCUCCCAAAUAAUAACGGAGGCUUACAAAGGUUGGCUCAGAACGGUUGGAAAUCGUUCGUAGAGUAUAAAGGUAUAAGCCAGCUUAACUGCAAGACAUACAAGUCAAGCAGAGACGAAAGUCGGUCUUAGUGAUCCGGUGGUUCUGUGUGGAAGGGCCAUCGCUCAAAGGAUAAAAGGUACCCCGGGGAUAACAGGCUGAUCUCCCCCAAGAGCUCACAUCGACGGGGAGGUUUGGCACCUCGAUGUCGGCUCAUCGCAUCCUGGGGCUGGAGCAGGUCCCAAGGGUAUGGCUGUUCGCCAUUUAAAGCGGUACGCGAGCUGGGUUCAGAACGUCGUGAGACAGUUCGGUCCCUAUCUGCCGUGGGCGUAAGAAGAUUGAAGAGAUUUGACCCUAGUACGAGAGGACCGGGUUGAACAAACCACUGGUGUAGCUGUUGUUCUGCCAAGAGCAUCGCAGCGUAGCUAAGUUUGGAAAGGAUAAACGCUGAAAGCAUCUAAGCGUGAAGCCAACUCUAAGAUGAAUCUUCUCUAAGCUCUCUAGAAGACUACUAGUUUGAUAGGCUGGGUGUGUAAUGGAUGAAAGUCCUUUAGCUGACCAGUACUAAUAGAGCGUUUGGCUUAUCUUUAAUAAAGCAU